GACGAACGCUGGCGGCGUGCUUAACACAUGCAAGUCGAACGAUGAAGCUGGAGCUUGCUCCGGUGGAUUAGUGGCGAACGGGUGUGUAACACGUGAGCAAUCUGCCCUUGACUCUGGGAUAACUGCGGGAAACUGUAGCUAAUACCGGAUACGAGGCUCGAAGGCAUCUUCGGGUCUGGAAAGAAUUUCGGUCAAGGAUGAGCUCGCGGCCGAUCAGCUUGUUGGUGAGGUAAUGGCUCACCAAGGCGACGACGGGUAGCCGGCCUGAGAGGGUGACCGGCCACACUGGGACUGAGACACGGCCCAGACUCCUACGGGAGGCAGCAGUGGGGAAUAUUGCACAAUGGGCGAAAGCCUGAUGCAGCAACGCCGCGUGAGGGAUGAAGGCCUUCGGGUUGUAAACCUCUUUUAGCAGGGAAGAAGCGAAAGUGACGGUACCUGCAGAAAAAGCACCGGCUAACUACGUGCCAGCCGCCGCGGUAA
Molecule: ribosomal RNA, 483 nt
Filed under: uncultured bacterium
Lineage: Bacteria
Description: partial 16S ribosomal RNA
Rfam family: Bacterial small subunit ribosomal RNA
Source: RNAcentral